RNAcentral lists this ribosomal RNA (1542 nucleotides) under Staphylococcus aureus. RNAcentral's name for it is "partial 23S ribosomal RNA". It matches the Rfam family "Bacterial large subunit ribosomal RNA", at positions 1 to 1542 of the family's 2925-position model. Lineage: Bacteria; Bacillati; Bacillota; Bacilli; Caryophanales; Staphylococcaceae. The record is from RNAcentral.
AGAUUAAGUUAUUAAGGGCGCACGGUGGAUGCCUUGGCACUAGAAGCCGAUGAAGGACGUUACUAACGACGAUAUGCUUUGGGGAGCUGUAAGUAAGCUUUGAUCCAGAGAUUUCCGAAUGGGGAAACCCAGCAUGAGUUAUGUCAUGUUAUCGAUAUGUGAAUACAUAGCAUAUCAGAAGGCACACCCGGAGAACUGAAACAUCUUAGUACCCGGAGGAAGAGAAAGAAAAUUCGAUUCCCUUAGUAGCGGCGAGCGAAACGGGAAGAGCCCAAACCAACAAGCUUGCUUGUUGGGGUUGUAGGACACUCUAUACGGAGUUACAAAGGACGACAUUAGACGAAUCAUCUGGAAAGAUGAAUCAAAGAAGGUAAUAAUCCUGUAGUCGAAAAUGUUGUCUCUCUUGAGUGGAUCCUGAGUACGACGGAGCACGUGAAAUUCCGUCGGAAUCUGGGAGGACCAUCUCCUAAGGCUAAAUACUCUCUAGUGACCGAUAGUGAACCAGUACCGUGAGGGAAAGGUGAAAAGCACCCCGGAAGGGGAGUGAAAUAGAACCUGAAACCGUGUGCUUACAAGUAGUCAGAGCCCGUUAAUGGGUGAUGGCGUGCCUUUUGUAGAAUGAACCGGCGAGUUACGAUUUGAUGCAAGGUUAAGCAGUAAAUGUGGAGCCGUAGCGAAAGCGAGUCUGAAUAGGGCGUUUAGUAUUUGGUCGUAGACCCGAAACCAGGUGAUCUACCCUUGGUCAGGUUGAAGUUCAGGUAACACUGAAUGGAGGACCGAACCGACUUACGUUGAAAAGUGAGCGGAUGAACUGAGGGUAGCGGAGAAAUUCCAAUCGAACCUGGAGAUAGCUGGUUCUCUCCGAAAUAGCUUUAGGGCUAGCCUCAAGUGAUGAUUAUUGGAGGUAGAGCACUGUUUGGACGAGGGGCCCCUCUCGGGUUACCGAAUUCAGACAAACUCCGAAUGCCAAUUAAUUUAACUUGGGAGUCAGAACAUGGGUGAUAAGGUCCGUGUUCGAAAGGGAAACAGCCCAGACCACCAGCUAAGGUCCCAAAAUAUAUGUUAAGUGGAAAAGGAUGUGGCGUUGCCCAGACAACUAGGAUGUUGGCUUAGAAGCAGCCAUCAUUUAAAGAGUGCGUAAUAGCUCACUAGUCGAGUGACACUGCGCCGAAAAUGUACCGGGGCUAAACAUAUUACCGAAGCUGUGGAUUGUCCUUUGGACAAUGGUAGGAGAGCGUUCUAAGGGCGUUGAAGCAUGAUCGUAAGGACAUGUGGAGCGCUUAGAAGUGAGAAUGCCGGUGUGAGUAGCGAAAGACGGGUGAGAAUCCCGUCCACCGAUUGACUAAGGUUUCCAGAGGAAGGCUCGUCCGCUCUGGGUUAGUCGGGUCCUAAGCUGAGGCCGACAGGCGUAGGCGAUGGAUAACAGGUUGAUAUUCCUGUACCACCUAUAAUCGUUUUAAUCGAUGGGGGGACGCAGUAGGAUAGGCGAAGCGUGCGAUUGGAUUGCACGUCUAAGCAGUAAGGCUGAGUAUUAGGCAAAUC